GAUGAACGCUGGCGGUAUGCCUAACACAUGCAAGUCGUACGAGAGUUUUUUAACUCUAGUGGCGGACGGGUGAGUAACACGUGAGAAUUUUGCCUUUUAGGAGGGGGGACAACAAUUUGGAAACGAAUGCUAAUACCCCAUAUGCUUUCGAGUGAAAUGGAUUUUAUCCGCCUAGAGAGAAGCUCGCGGCUGAUUAGCUUGUUGGUAAGGUAAGAGCUUUACCAAGGCGACGAUCAGUAUCUGGUUUGAGAGGACGAUCAGACACACUGGAACUGAGACACGGUCCAGACUCCUACGGGAGGCAGCAGUGGGGAAUUUUCCGCAAUGGGCGAAAGCCUGACGGAGCAAUACCGCGUGAGGGAAGAAUGCCUAUGGGUUGUAAACCUCUUUUUUCAGGGAGGAAUAAAAUGACGUGUACCUGAAGAAUAAGCAUCGGCUAACUCCGUG
RNAcentral lists this ribosomal RNA (447 nucleotides) under uncultured bacterium. RNAcentral describes it as "bacterial SSU rRNA". It matches the Rfam family "Bacterial small subunit ribosomal RNA", at positions 28 to 507 of the family's 1533-position model. The record is from RNAcentral.